UCCAGCAGUAGUCAGCUCCCCAUUGCUGCUCAGUGCCUGGGAUAGUGUUAUGCUGCUGGGAGAGAAAGGUGCUGCUGAGUCACUCCUGGCACCACCCGGCGCUGUUUUGGCGCUGGAAGGAGCCAGGUUUGGCAGCACCCUGCAUGCUUGAGAGUGGAGUAACUCCUGGGUGGAGUUAAUCCUAGAUGGGAUGCAGACAAU
This 201-nucleotide small nucleolar RNA is filed under the name Chaetura pelagica (chimney swift). RNAcentral's name for it is "Small nucleolar RNA SNORA74". It matches the Rfam family "Small nucleolar RNA SNORA74". From Rfam's summary of the family: U19 belongs to the H/ACA class of snoRNAs. snoRNAs bind a number of proteins (including dyskerin, Gar1p and Nop10p in the case of the H/ACA class) to form snoRNP complexes. The record is from Rfam by way of RNAcentral. Lineage: Eukaryota; Metazoa; Chordata; Aves; Apodiformes; Apodidae.